CCUACGGGUGGCAGCAGUGAGGAAUAUUGGUCAAUGGACGAGAGUCUGAACCAGCCAAGUAGCGUGAAGGAUGACUGCCCUAUGGGUUGUAAACUUCUUUUAUAUGGGAAUAAAAUGUUCCACGUGUGGGAUUUUGUAUGUACCAUAUGAAUAAGGAUCGGCUAACUCCGUGCCAGCAGCCGCGGUAAUACGGAGGAUCCGAGCGUUAUCCGGAUUUAUUGGGUUUAAAGGGAGCGUAGGUGGAUUUGUAAGUCAGUUGUGAAAGUUUGCGGUUCAACCGUAAAAUUGCAGUUGAAACUGUCAGUCUUGAGUACAGUAGAGGUGGGCGGAAUUCGUGGUGUAGCGGUGAAAUGCUUAGAUAUCACGAAGAACUCCGAUUGCGAAGGCAGUUCACUGGACUGCAACUGACACUGAGGCUCGAAAGUGUGGGUAUCAAACAGGAUUAGAUACCCGAGUAGUC
Molecule: ribosomal RNA, 460 nt
Filed under: uncultured bacterium
Lineage: Bacteria
Description: partial 16S ribosomal RNA
Rfam family: Bacterial small subunit ribosomal RNA
Source: RNAcentral